CAGCCGUAAACAAUGUGCGUUAGGUGUGUCGGUAACCACGUGUUACUGAUGCGCCGAAGAGAAAUCGUGAAACGCACCACCUGGGAAGUACGGUCGCAAGGCUGAAACUUAAAGGAAUUGGCGGGGGAGGCACCGCAACGGGAGGAGCGUGCGGUCUAAUUGGAUUCAACACCGUAAACUACACCAGGGAAGACUGUUACAUGAAAGCCGAGAUGAAGACUCUGCUAGAUUUUCAGAGAGGAGGUGCAUGGCGUCAGUGACU
Molecule: ribosomal RNA, 262 nt
Filed under: uncultured archaeon
Lineage: Archaea
Description: partial 16S ribosomal RNA
Rfam family: Archaeal small subunit ribosomal RNA
Source: RNAcentral